AACGAACGCUGGCGGCAUGCCUAACACACGCAAGUCGAACGAGACCUUCGGGUCUAGUGGCGCACGGGUGCGUAACGCGUGGGAAUCUACCCUCGGGUUCGGAAUAACAGUUAGAAAUGACUGCUAAUACCGGAUGAUGUCUUCGGACCAAAGAUUUAUCGCCCAAGGAUGAGCCCGCGUAGGAUUAGGUAGUUGGUGGGGUAAUGGCCCACCAAGCCGACGAUCCUUAGCUGGUCUGAGAGGAUGAUCAGCCACACUGGGACUGAGACACGGCCCAGACUCCUACGGGAGGCAGCAGUGGGGAAUAUUGGACAAUGGGCGAAAGCCUGAUCCAGCAAUGCCGCGUGAGUGAUGAAGGCCUUAGGGUUGUAAAGCUCUUUUACCAGGGAUGAUAAUGACAGUACCUGGAGAAUAAGCUCCGGCUAACUCCGUGCCAGCCGCCGCAGUAA
Molecule: ribosomal RNA, 449 nt
Filed under: uncultured bacterium
Lineage: Bacteria
Description: partial 16S ribosomal RNA
Rfam family: Bacterial small subunit ribosomal RNA
Source: RNAcentral